CCUUUGCACUGGGCCUGGGCUGAGGACACAGCCAGUGUUAGCCCAAGAGGAGCCAGCCCACUGUCUGGUGGCUUCAGCUUCACUCUAUCUUAGUUCAGGUUCUCCUGAAGCAGAGCCCGAGACUACUCUUUUGAGAAGUGACCCCAGGAAGCUGGAGCAAAGAAGCAGGAAGGGAAAGGCAGGGAAGGAGAAAAGCCAAUACAUGGAGCGCUCUGGAGGUCACCGCUGUAGGAUCGAGAAGGGACUACCUACCCAGCUGCAUGCCAGAUCUCCCUCCCCAGCCCUGGCCUCCCUCCAGAACUCUGGACCCAUCUGUCCAGUCAUCAUCCAGACCUUUCCAUAGAACGUCCUCCUACCCCGACACAGUAUCCCAGAGACUCCACUCAUCCCAGGCAGAACAUAUCUUCUGUUCCCUGAAACUGGCCCUCCUCUGGGAUCCCACCCUUUCAAGAACUUCAGCCAGAGAACGGGUGAGGUGGCUCACACCUGUAAUCCCAGCACCCUGGGAGGCCGAGGUGGGAGGGUUGUUUGAGCAAGCGAGGUUGAGGCUGCAGUGAGCCAUGACUACUGCACUCCAGCCUGGACAACAGAGGGAGACCCUAUCUAAAAAAAAAACAAAAAAGAACUUCCACCAGAAACCUGGCAUCCCUGGCCUCCCUCCUCCACUCCAACUAUCCCCUCCUUUCAUCCCCUCCCUGGUACUCAGGUGGGGCCUGGCUCA
Molecule: long non-coding RNA, 721 nt
Filed under: Homo sapiens (human)
Lineage: Eukaryota; Metazoa; Chordata; Mammalia; Primates; Hominidae
Description: non-protein coding lnc-GHRH-4:1
Source: RNAcentral